Molecule: ribosomal RNA, 497 nt
Filed under: uncultured bacterium
Lineage: Bacteria
Description: partial 16S ribosomal RNA
Rfam family: Bacterial small subunit ribosomal RNA
Source: RNAcentral
GAUGAACGCUGGCGGCGUGCCUAAUACAUGCAAGUCGAGCGAACGGACGAGAAGCUUGCUUCUCUGAUGUUAGCGGCGGACGGGUGAGUAACACGUGGAUAACCUACCUAUAAGACUGGGAUAACUUCGGGAAACCGGCGCUAAUACCGGAUAAUAUUUUGAACCGCAUGGUUCAAAAGUGAAAGACGGUCUUGCUGUCACUUAUAGAUGGAUCCGCGCUGCAUUAGCUAGUUGGUAAGGUAACGGCUUACCAAGGCAACGAUGCAUAGCCGACCUGAGAGGGUGAUCGGCCACACUGGAACUGGGACACGGUCCAGACUCCUACGGGAGGCAGCAGUAGGGAAUCUUCCGCAAUGGGCGAAAGCCUGACGGAGCAACGCCGCGUGAGUGAUGAAGGUCUUCGGAUCGUAAAACUCUGUUAUUAGGGAAGAACAUAUGUGUAAGUAACUGUGCACAUCUUGACGGUACCUAAUCAGAAAGCCACGGCUAACUACGUG